UUAUUAAGUUAGUAUAUAGGUACAUCUGAUUUCSAYUCAGAAGGGCUUCAGGAGUAGUUUUUCUUUUGGUAAG
This 73-nucleotide transfer RNA is filed under the name Armadillidium vulgare (common pillbug). RNAcentral's name for it is "tRNA-Gly". The record is from RNAcentral. Lineage: Eukaryota; Metazoa; Arthropoda; Malacostraca; Isopoda; Armadillidiidae.